UAUCGGAUUGAUACUAAGCCAUGCGAGUCAUUGCAGUAAUGCAAGGCAGACGGCUCAGUAACGCGUAGUCAACCUACCCUAUGGACGGGAAUAACCUCGGGAAACUGAGUAUAAUGCCCGAUAGAACACUAUACCUGGAAUGGUUUGUGUUCCAAAUGAAUGUCGCCGUAGGAUGGGACUGCGGCCUAUCAGUUUGUUGGUGAGGUAAUGGCCCACCAAGACUAUUACAGGUACGGGCUCUGAGAGGAGUAGCCCGGAGAUGGGUACUGAGACACGGACCCAGGCCCUAUGGGGCGCAGCAGGCGAGAAAACUUUGCAAUGUGCGAAAGCACGACAAGGUUAAUCCGAGUGGUUUGUGCUAAACGAACCUUUUGACAGUCCUAGAAACACUGUUGAAUAAGGGGUGGGCAAGUUCUGGUGUCAGCCGCCGCGGUAAAACCAGCACCUCAAGUGGUCAGGAUGAUUAUUGGGCCUAAAGCAUCCGUAGCCGGCUCUGUAAGUUUUCGGUUAAAUCUGUACGCUCAACGUACAGGCUGCCGGGAAUACUGCAGAGCUAGGGAGUGGGAGAGGUAGACGGUACUCGGUAGGAAGGGGUAAAAUCCUUUGAUCUAUUGAUGACCACCUGUGGCGAAGGCGGUCUACCAGAACACGUCCGACGGUGAGGGAUGAAAGCUGGGGGAGCAAACCGGAUUAGAUACCCGGGUAGUCCCAGCUGUAAACUAUGCAAACUCAGUGAUGCAUUGGCUUGUGGCCAAUGCAGUGCUGCAGGGAAGCCGUUAAGUUUGCCGCCUGGGAAGUACGUACGCAAGUAUGAAACUUAAAGGAAUUGGCGGGGGAGCACCACAAGGGGUGAAGCCUGCGGUUCAAUUGGAUUC
Molecule: ribosomal RNA, 875 nt
Filed under: uncultured archaeon
Lineage: Archaea
Description: bacterial SSU rRNA
Rfam family: Archaeal small subunit ribosomal RNA
Source: RNAcentral